UACAAUCCAUGAUCUUAAUGACUCGAUCUAUCAUGAGAUCAAAAUGCCAGUCUUAGAAAAUAUGAUCCUCCAAUAAUAUGGUGAAGAACCCUCAUUUCCAUAGAUAAUUCUAGGGCUAGUAGUUCCAUAAUGCCACCCAUGUCUUCUCUUUUCAGAAUGACCUUCAGAACUUGUACCUUAUCGAAUAGAUGCCGUGGAGCUACACCUUCAUUUGGAAACCCCC
RNAcentral lists this long non-coding RNA (223 nucleotides) under Elaeis guineensis (African oil palm). RNAcentral describes it as "long non-coding RNA (EGUI_LNC041864)". Lineage: Eukaryota; Viridiplantae; Streptophyta; Magnoliopsida; Arecales; Arecaceae. The record is from RNAcentral.